Molecule: long non-coding RNA, 709 nt
Filed under: Homo sapiens (human)
Lineage: Eukaryota; Metazoa; Chordata; Mammalia; Primates; Hominidae
Description: non-protein coding lnc-SRP9-1:3
Source: RNAcentral
CUGGUGAGAAGGGCGAAGCCAUGUCAGAAAUAAUAGAAAAGGCUUUUUCCUUUGAAAUAUCUAAACGUUCAAAGAUGGGAACAGCCGCAGGGGGGAGAAUACUGUGCUAUGCAAGUUGAUCUGAUUUUGUGGACCAUCCAUUUCCAAUUGGGAAGCUCACUUACUUUCAACUUGAAGCAUCAGAAAACCAGACUUACAGCAGCUUCAGCCUAUAGGGGUUUAUUUUUCUCAUGUAACAAGAAGAACAGAAGUGGACAGAGGCCGAGUUCUCAAGGACUCAGUUUCUUUCUGUCCCACCAACCUUACCAUGUUGGAUUGUCAUCUUUGUGCUUGUUGCCUCAUGAUGGCAAGAUGGCUGCAGCACCUCUGGGACUCACGACUGAUUUUUAAGGUGCCUUUCAGGAUUGGAGACUACUCCCCCAGUUGCUGAUGGUGUGGUCAGCCCUCAGUUUUCAGUCCUCUUUGGGAAUUGCCUUGGAUGAAGAAAGUCACCUCACCCAAGAUCACUCCAACUCCUGGGACCCACAUCCAAUGAUUGGCCAAUAUGGGGACUCAAAGGCCUGGUCCCCCUUCCCCAACUUGAGACUACUCUGAAGGAUCACCCAGCUUCAGAGCUUCCCAUGGUUGAGACUUUUAGACUUCACUGUGGUCCAACCAAUCUCUUCCUAUACACGGUCCUGACUCCUUCACUUCCCUCCCAGCACUUCUU